This 217-nucleotide ribosomal RNA is filed under the name Campeiostachys nutans. RNAcentral describes it as "Elymus nutans partial small subunit ribosomal RNA". The stretch from base 38 to 217 matches the Rfam family "Eukaryotic small subunit ribosomal RNA", at positions 684 to 864 of the family's 1831-position model. The record is from RNAcentral. Lineage: Eukaryota; Viridiplantae; Streptophyta; Magnoliopsida; Poales; Poaceae.
GGAUCAAUAUGCUGGUCGUGCCUUUGGUACGUACUGGUAUUAUUGGUUUCUCCUUUCUGAUGAAUCACGAUGUCAUUAAUUUGGUGCGCCGGGGAAGCAGGACUGUUACCUUGAAAAAAUUAGAGUGCUUAAAGCAGGCUAUCGCCUGAAUACAUUAGCAUGGAAUAAUGAAACAGGACGGCAUGGUUCUAUUUUGUUGGUUUCUAGGAUCACCGUA